AAGUCGUAACAAGGUUUCCGUAGGUGAACCUGCGGAAGGAUCAUUAAUGAAAUUAUGACUGGGGUUGUAGCUGGCCUAUAAAACGGCAUGUGCACGCUCCUUUCACAAUCCACACACACCUGUGCACCUUCGCGGGGGUCUUUUUUUCUCUUUGGGGGAACAAAGGCUCGCGUCCCUUUACACACCCUUUGUAUGUCUUAAGAAUGUCUACUCGAUGUAAUAAAACGCAUCUAAUACAACUUUCAACAACGGAUCUCUUGGCUCUC
This 266-nucleotide unclassified non-coding RNA is filed under the name Stereum ostrea. Its description in RNAcentral is "partial internal transcribed spacer region". The stretch from base 1 to 46 matches the Rfam family "Eukaryotic small subunit ribosomal RNA", at positions 1786 to 1831 of the family's 1831-position model. The record is from RNAcentral. Lineage: Eukaryota; Fungi; Basidiomycota; Agaricomycetes; Russulales; Stereaceae.